This 362-nucleotide unclassified non-coding RNA is filed under the name Hevea brasiliensis (rubber tree). The record is from RNAcentral. Lineage: Eukaryota; Viridiplantae; Streptophyta; Magnoliopsida; Malpighiales; Euphorbiaceae.
GGAUGCAUUGCAAAUGAAUGACACCUCUGUUUAUACUACUAAGGGGCUAAGUGCAAUUUAAAAUUACUUUACAAGUCCCUAAAAUAUUUACACUUUGUUCCCUCUCUAGAAAAAUCUAGAUAAUCUAGGAUAUUCUAAAGCUUUCUUGAAAUAUCUAAAGGUGUUAUAAAAUUAUCCGCAAGCCCCUCCUUAACUCUAGAAUCUCUCACGCCUAUCCGGAUGUAAAAUUUGACUGGGACAUCAGACUAUCCAAUGCCACUAACAAGAGUUGCUGAAAAUUCUAAUGACGGAAUCAAAACUUGACCUCCACCAAAAGAACUUUUGAUACAUCAACUUCGUACCAACCUAUGGAGGUAAGGGCC